UACGGGGGGGGCAAGCGUUGUUCGGAAUUACUGGGCGUAAAGGGCUCGUAGGCGGCCAACUAAGUCAUACGUGAAAUCCCUCGGCUUAACCGAGGAAGUGCGCCCAAAACUACAAGGCUUGAGUACCGGAGAGGGUGGUGGAAUUCCCGGUGUAGAGGUGAAAUUCGUAGAUAUCGGGAGGAACACCAGUGGCGAAGGCGACCACCUGGACGGAUACUGACGCUGAGACGCGAAAGCGUGGGGAGCAAACAGG
RNAcentral lists this ribosomal RNA (253 nucleotides) under uncultured bacterium. RNAcentral describes it as "partial 16S ribosomal RNA". It matches the Rfam family "Bacterial small subunit ribosomal RNA", at positions 524 to 776 of the family's 1533-position model. The record is from RNAcentral.